UAUGCUGAGUUUUACAGGAUUACUCAAACAAACCUCAAAGAUAUCUUCUCUUUUUCGGAUGAAUACGCUAUCAAGUUUUAUGGAUCAUGUGGUGGGCGAUAUGGAGAGAUAAUAAGAACCGCCCUGAACCAACUGGACAAUCAAGACACAGAGCCAGAAGAUAUUUGCACAAUAGAGAUGGAGAUGGACAUCCUUAGCACUGUUGAAGAUGAUGUUGCCACUCUUCAGACCAACCUAAAUGUAAGGUGCCUGUCUGUGGUUCUGGAAGAGCAAAUCGUGCUGGAAAAGAUCUUCCGACAGCUGUUGUUCUCCUCUUUGGUUUGAUUAAUUUCCUCAUUAUGAACUACCCCAAAGAACUGAAACACAUCUUUGAAACUAUUCAGAAAGUGUUUAUUGGCCUUGAAUGCAUUUGUUUGUACACUGAAAUUGUGUUACUCUUGGUGUUGUCACCAAACUUAAAUUCAGUUUUGAUUUUACAUUUUCAAAUUUUAAAAACAUCCAUUUCCCACCAAUUGAUAGAUUGGGUGUUGUGUUCAAGCGCUCAACAUAAAUGACUGUGAUUGGCUGAGAAGUUCACCAUUUCACUGCUCUUCACUGAUGUUCAUGGAGUGCAAACACAGAUACACACACACACACACACACACACACACACACACACACACACACACACACACACACACACACACACACACACACACACACACACACACACACACACACACACACAGCGUACCACUUGUGUCAGCUUAUACACAGACCAGUUGAUCAAUGUGAAAUUCUUAAGUGUCCCUGUAUCUGUGGUUACACUCAGUAAACAGCAGUGAGUUUGGUGAACUGAUGAUCUUCACGCCCAAUCAGUCUUUUCUGUUGAGCAUGUGAACACAAUGGCAAUAUAACAGUGUUUAAAACAUGGUCAACAACGCUCAAAUGUUAGCAGGAAAUGGACGUUUUUAAAAUUAUAGAACUGAUGGGUAACAAAAUUAAAAUAUCGUGACAAAACUAAUUACUCUUGCACUUUGAAAAAAAUGUUGAUAGUGCAAGCAUUUUAAAUAUUACUUUUGCUUAACUCGAGCACUUAAAAGGCAAUAUAGGAUUUGAGGAUUUACCUUUUUGUUGCCUCUUUUCCUUCUCUGGACUGCAGUACAUUUCAUUUGGACAGAAAACUGUUUGCAGAAUUGUCAAUAAAUAUAUUCUUUGA
Molecule: non-coding RNA, 1198 nt
Organism: Danio rerio (zebrafish)
Lineage: Eukaryota; Metazoa; Chordata; Actinopteri; Cypriniformes; Danionidae
Source: RefSeq, a predicted model, not a curated record